RNAcentral lists this long non-coding RNA (1524 nucleotides) under Cottoperca gobio. RNAcentral describes it as "lncRNA (ENSCGOG00000020438.1)". Lineage: Eukaryota; Metazoa; Chordata; Actinopteri; Perciformes; Bovichtidae. The record is from RNAcentral.
AUGCUGGUCCCAGCAGAGUUCUUCUCCCUCAGGAAGGUGAGGUACUUCUUUUACAAAAAUCCAGUGGUUAUUCCUAUUGGAAGAGCAGAAGAUGGCCUUACCCUGAUGGAAAUCCUCCACAAUGUUGUCAUAUUCCUGGUGAGAUCCCUCAGGCAGCUUUUCAACCAGCACGCCAACGUGGGAGGGUACAAGCCCAGCUGGCAGGCCUUCCAGUUUGAGUUGGCCCUGGAGGAGUUUUUCUACGGACAUCCCCUGUGUCACACUGACUACCAGCUCACUGUAAGCCUGGGCACCAGCUCCACAAACCCCAACAGCCUGACAAAUGAGAGAGGUUUCCUUGGUCUUGCGCCGUACAACAGCGCAAGUGUCGGAGAGACCUCUCCUCCACUGCGACACUGGACCCGAGAUGACCUCCAGGUGACCAGGAUUGAAAGGCUGUUCCCUCUCUCAAACACCCUUGAAGCUGAGCCACCAGUUAUAGGAGCUGCAUUGGUGUUUGUCUUGCUGGGGGACCUCUACAAGAGGAAUGACAGACUCUCAAUACCAAUGCUGCAAGGCCCACAGUGUCCUGGCACCCUCAAGGGCCAUGUCACCCUUGAGAAGUUUUGCCAAGAGCUGGCCACCAGGGAUGCAUUCCCUCCUCCCUGCACCUUCCGACGCACCAGAGAGCUUAUCACCAGAGCUGGCAAGGAUGUGAAAACCUGUUUGGAGUCUGGAUUCAUUGAACAUAACAUCAGAUUCUUUGCUGAUGUGAAGUUCAGGGACACCAACAAAAGCAAGCGCAUCACAUGGAAUUUCAAGGAUUACGUGGAGGUCCAUCCUGAUGAUCAAGCGCCGUCCCUGGACAGCAGAGCUGCGUCCAUGGUAGGGGACAUUUGCAUUGAGAUUGAGAGGAGAGAUCUCACCUACCCCCGUAACACUGAGCGCUACAGGGAGCAUGGAAUGCCCUGGCUACUUGCCGUGAUGAGACGCCUGCCCGCCACUCUGGGGAAGGACAAGACAUUCAAGGUCCUGACAUUCAUCAGCUGUGUGGCCCUAGUCAUGAAUGGGGACUACAUCAGCUACCAACACCUGGCCACCUUGAUGAAGGAUAUGCAGAUGGCACAGUCCGAUCUCCAGAAACUGCAGAUCCAGUCACAGUUCCUCCUGCCAAAGGUAUACAAAAUGAGCAUCUGGAGGCUGCAUGACGCAAUACCUUGGAGGAUGGUUCUGAGGAGGAACCCGCCAGCUCUACCACCUCAAAAGAGGCCAGAGGAAGAGGUCAUUGAACAGCCGUAUGAAGAUGUUCAGGCAGUGGAUGAGGCAUAUCAACAUACUCCCUGCACCUCCAGGAGCAAGUUUCUGCCGGACACCAAGAGGACGGUUUGGUCUUCCAUGGAGAUGUCCUUCGUGAAUCUGGACACAGAGACAAACAUGGAAGAAGCUUAUAGGGACUACCUGGACAAAUGCAAGAGAGCUGACAUUCCAGCGAGGACCAAAACGUCCUUUAGGUUCAAACGGAAGAAGAUGACUGAAGAUGAUUAG